UACGGAGGGUGCAAGCGUUAAUCGGAAUUACUGGGCGUAAAGCGUGCGCAGGCGGUUAUUUAAGUCAGGUGUGAAAGCCCUGGGCUUAACCUAGGAAUUGCGCUUGAGACUGGAUAGCUUGGAGUGCGGCAGAGGGAGGUGGAAUUCCACGUGUAGCAGUGAAAUGCGUAGAGAUGUGGAGGAACACCGAUGGCGAAGGCAGCCUCCUGGGCCAGCACUGACGCUCAUGCACGAAAGCGUGGGGAGCAAACAGG
This 254-nucleotide ribosomal RNA is filed under the name uncultured bacterium. Its description in RNAcentral is "partial 16S ribosomal RNA". It matches the Rfam family "Bacterial small subunit ribosomal RNA", at positions 524 to 776 of the family's 1533-position model. The record is from RNAcentral.